This 253-nucleotide ribosomal RNA is filed under the name uncultured bacterium. RNAcentral's name for it is "partial 16S ribosomal RNA". It matches the Rfam family "Bacterial small subunit ribosomal RNA", at positions 524 to 776 of the family's 1533-position model. The record is from RNAcentral.
UACAGGGGGGGCAAGCGUUGUUCGGAAUUACUGGGCGUAAAGGGCUCGUAGGCGGCCAACUAAGUCAGACGUGAAAUCCCCAGGCUCAACCUGGGAACUGCGUCUGAUACUGGAUGGCUUGAAUCCGGGAGAGGGAUGCAGAAUUCCAGGUGUAGCGGUGAAAUGCGUAGAUAUCUGGAGGAAUACCGGUGGCGAAGGCGGCAUCCUGGACCGGCAUUGACGCUGAUGAGCGAAAGCUAGGGGAGCAAACGGG